GGACAAAGGACUUGGAAUCAGACCCUCUUGGACAGAAAUCUAUAUCCCCGUGAAACGCUGUCAUGUCAUCCUGAAAGACAAGAAUGGGGAAGGCCUGCGAGUGCUUCAGAGGAUGGGCCAGCCACAAGGCCAGUUCCUGAGGACUUGCUGCAAUCAGUUAACCACUCGGGCUUGGAUUAUGGGGAAGGACUACAUACACCCUGGGAAGAGGAGCCACUUUCUCUCAAACCUUCUCAGAUGUGGACGAGGAUGAAACUGGCCAGGAGCUCUGUGGUGAUGGAACAGAAUGUGUCAACAGUUCUGCUGCCAAAAGGAGUAUGAAGACCAUGUCCCCACUCAGCUGGGCAUGCUGUGUGUGCGUGCUCCUCACGCCGGUGUUGGCUGCCCAGAUGCUCUCCCACUUGCAUCUGCUGUGAAGAUUAACAGAAAUUCCAGGUGGUUGGAGACAAGUGUAAUAGGAGAAGAACAGUGAUGUCCUGGGCCCUGGCUAAGGUACAAAGCUGUGCACAAAAGGUUCCUUCUAUCUCAGGCCCUCUCUUCACAUCCCCACCAAAUAGCUCUGCUAAAGAAAGACUCAAGUUUUUGCUGAAAUACCCUUGAAGAAAACCUCCUUGGAAUUUGGAUCUACAGUUUCAGAAGAAGUUGACAUGGGCCUCGCCCUCCUGGCAAAUUUCAAGGCCAACAAAAGACAAAGGCAGAAGCAAGGCUGCCCCUGGACCAAUGGUGA
Hipposideros armiger (great roundleaf bat) is the source of this 727-nucleotide long non-coding RNA. RefSeq lists it as uncharacterized. The transcript has 7 exons. NCBI's taxonomy places the organism in Eukaryota, Metazoa, Chordata, Mammalia, Chiroptera, Hipposideridae. The record is from RefSeq and is a predicted model, not a curated record.